Molecule: long non-coding RNA, 876 nt
Organism: Carassius gibelio (silver crucian carp)
Lineage: Eukaryota; Metazoa; Chordata; Actinopteri; Cypriniformes; Cyprinidae
Exons: 3
Source: RefSeq, a predicted model, not a curated record
AUCCAAAUGGCAGAAACCAUUACGGAGGCACACACAGCCAUGUUGAAAGCAAGGUUUCAACCCUUGAAGAACGUCCGGAUCUUGUCAAUGCAGCACUAACAUACUAUAUGGAGGGAAUGAUAGAGAUGCCUCUUAAACAUGUUGUUACUGCCAUUACCGUCUUCAUCAGAUGAGCUGUCUUCAUGGUCACCUGCUCUCUAUCUGUUCACCCUGAGUCUGUAUUCAAUAGAUCUGGUCCACAUUUCAUCUCUGCCUCUUGUGAUCUUGAAUCUGGGAUCCAGGGCUGUGUGCUCCUCCAAGAACUGCCUGAUAUUCUCAUCCUGCAAGACAAUAACAACGUGAGUGCCUGAAUAAUCCUAAUGAAAACAAGCGAGAACACAAUAGGUUUACACUGACCUGCUACAGAACUGGUAUCUUCUCGAUAGUGUCCUUGAUGGUCUUUGUGAAGGAGGAGUCCUCAUCAUUAACUGUGAAGUGGUGCUGGAGUUUAUUCAAGAUCAGAAUCUGACCCAAGGUUGGGCUCCUUUCAGCAGAGACGCAGAGGGUUUAAGUGUAAAGUAUCUUUGUAACUUUGACAGACUGUUCUGCUUUUCUGAAGUCCUCAUCAGAAUCUCUCUGCAGUCUGAAAAAUAUCAUCAGUUUCAUUAGCUGGGCUAUAGUUUUAUAAGAACAAUGGUUCAGACUGAAAAUGCUGAAAAUGGUUUAAGCGAAUCACAAAAUUCUUUACCUGUCCUUCUCCAUUGCUUUCUGAAGCCAAGGGUCCAUGGAGGCGGCCUGGAUGGCAAGGAACUGCUCCACCAAGAGGAACAUGCUAUUCCACCUUGUUCUCACAUCCAGGAAGCCCUAGAGUGCGAAAGAGAUGUGUGUGUGUGUGUG